GUCGAGCGGUAACAGGUCCUUCGGGAUGCUGACGAGCGGCGGACGGGUGAGUAAUGCAUAGGAAUCUGCCCGGUAGUGGGGGAUAACCUGGGGAAACCCAGGCUAAUACCGCAUACGUCCUACGGGAGAAAGGGGGCUCCGGCUCCCGCUAUUGGAUGAGCCUAUGUCGGAUUAGCUGGUUGGUGAGGUAAUGGCUCACCAAGGCAACGAUCCGUAGCUGGUCUGAGAGGAUGAUCAGCCACAUCGGGACUGAGACACGGCCCGAACUCCUACGGGAGGCAGCAGUGGGGAAUAUUGGACAAUGGGGGCAACCCUGAUCCAGCCAUGCCGCGUGUGUGAAGAAGGCCCUCGGGUUGUAAAGCACUUUCAGCGAGGAAGAACGCCUGGCGGUUAAUACCCGCCAGGAAAGACAUCACUCGCAGAAGAAGCACCGGCUAACUCCGUGCCAGCAGCCGCGGUAAUACGGAGGGUGCAAGCGUUAAUCGGAAUUACUGGGCGUAAAGCGCGCGUAGGUGGCUUGAUAAGCCGGUUGUGAAAGCCCCGGGCUCAACCUGGGAACGGCAUCCGGAACUGUCAGGCUAGAGUGCAGGAGAGGAA
This 597-nucleotide ribosomal RNA is filed under the name Halomonas sp. CS6114. RNAcentral describes it as "bacterial SSU rRNA". It matches the Rfam family "Bacterial small subunit ribosomal RNA", at positions 61 to 659 of the family's 1533-position model. The record is from RNAcentral. Lineage: Bacteria; Pseudomonadati; Pseudomonadota; Gammaproteobacteria; Oceanospirillales; Halomonadaceae. RNAcentral also lists the same sequence under 3 other names.